UCCUGCGUUUUUAUUGACACACGCUGUAGAAGCAUGAACUUACUCUCUGGUGUGCACAGACGCCAUGCCAGAUCUGUGUCUGGUUCCGCGCUUAUGCCAUUACGCAGGGACCCAUAUCUGUGAUAAAGGAUGGGGAGGAAGAAGGAAGUGAGAUGUCGUCUGUUCAGUUGCCAAUCCUUCUGACUACUGUCUGCCUAUUGGUUGGCUGCGUGCUGGUACUCGGCACACUGAUUGUCGUGAUGCGUAAACGCACCCAACGCCUUCAAUUGUACUCGCCACUGGCCACUGAAGAAAACUAGUUUACAGGAACUGUCUACUAGCCUGAGUUCAUCAAAGGAAAUCAUUUAUCCAUAUUUCUCAAUUAUAUUUGAAGAAGAUUUAAGAGAAAUUCAGAACAAUUUAAGUAAACGUUUAUUAUGCUGUUAGGCAUGGGUGAUAUUCAAUAGAAUUUUUUUGUAAUGCAGCACAAUUAUACACAGUGCAGUCCGUCAGUUCAGUUGUCCUUAAUUUCAAUAUUAACACAUUGUAUUCAAAUAAAAAUAACUGGCUAAUUAGAGUAGUAAGCAUAUAUUUUGUCUUCAAGCUCAUUUGGCAAAAACUAAUCAGUUUCGAUAAUUGUGACUAAAAAGUUUUUAAUUUAGUUUUUUCCCCAAUUUUUCCUAUUAUUACCAGUAGGAAUGUUGCUAAUUGCCCGGAAAUUAAUGCAUAUGCCCUGCCGAUUCGGUGCGAAAAAAACUAGCUCAAAAUUGUUUAUUUGAGUGACCCACGUACGCACCCUUAAUGAAAAUAAAUGAAAUUUGUUUCAUCAGCAAUGUUGCGGACAUUUUUUUAGAAAGUUAACCAAAAAAUUGCUGUUUCAUAAUUAUGGUUUAACCAUUAAUUUGUCAAAAGCUUAUUACUCACGGCCAUCUCAGUGUCAAUUGCUUAGCAAUUAAUAGAUAAAUAAAGAGUUGAGUUGAUGUUGUUGCAAA
This is a long non-coding RNA of Patiria miniata (bat star), 971 nucleotides long. RefSeq lists it as uncharacterized. The transcript is spliced from 2 exons. Lineage: Eukaryota; Metazoa; Echinodermata; Asteroidea; Valvatida; Asterinidae. The record is from RefSeq and is a predicted model, not a curated record.